RNAcentral lists this unclassified non-coding RNA (578 nucleotides) under Hevea brasiliensis (rubber tree). Lineage: Eukaryota; Viridiplantae; Streptophyta; Magnoliopsida; Malpighiales; Euphorbiaceae. The record is from RNAcentral.
GAGAGAGAGAGAGAGAGAACCAAAACUGAGCUAUACCUAUUGUAAGAGGUUCAAAUAGGGAUAAAAAGAACACACCUAAACUAGAACAGUUUGGCAAGUAAAGGACACAAAGAUAUAAUUCUUUGGAUUCACUGAAAAAAACCAAGCAAAAUAAAAUCAUCCGCUGAAGCUGAAGUAAACAGAAUUUUUUAACUUUACACUCUGGGUUUAUCCCAAUUUUUAAUUCCCUUAAUUUAUCUUUUUCCAUUUAUCUUAUCCGAGACAGAAACUUUUUUCUUUGUACUCUUCUAAGAAGCAAACAACUUCAGAAUUUUCUUAGUCUUAACCAGAAAAGCCAAUCUGAAGAUGAAGAUCUCUGUCAACACAAAAACGAGUAAAUGGAGGUAAAAAAGAUCACUUGAAUUAGAGUAGAAAAUAAAGAAAGAAAAGCUAGAUCAAACAAGAUCCAGUCACCAACUAAGCAUAUGGAAACAGAAACUCAUACUGAAGGUAACCCAAAUUCAGAAAGAAAGCAAAAUGAGAGAAGGUGGGGAAGUUGGAAAAGCUAUAAAUGACCUUAUCGGAAUCCAUAUAGAAGC